This 28-nucleotide non-coding RNA is filed under the name Mus musculus (house mouse). Lineage: Eukaryota; Metazoa; Chordata; Mammalia; Rodentia; Muridae. The record is from RNAcentral.
CAAUGAGUAUUCAGCCGGUGCCAGUGGA